GACGUAGGGCGCGAGCGUUGUCCGGAUUUAUCGGGUGUAAAGAGCUCGUAGGCGGCUUGUCGCGUCGUCCGUGAAAACUUGGGGCUCAACCCCAAGCUUGCGGUCGAUACGGGCAGGCUAGAGUUCGGUAGGGGAGACUGGAAUUCCUGGUGCAGCGGUGAAAUGCGCAGAUAUCAGGAGGAACACCGGUGGCGAAGGCGGGUCUCUGGGCCGAUACUGACGCUGAGGAGCGAAAGCGUGGGGAGCGAACAGG
RNAcentral lists this ribosomal RNA (253 nucleotides) under uncultured bacterium. RNAcentral describes it as "partial 16S ribosomal RNA". It matches the Rfam family "Bacterial small subunit ribosomal RNA", at positions 524 to 776 of the family's 1533-position model. The record is from RNAcentral.